GUUCCAGGGAAUCAGGUGGGAGACAGCUGCAGAAGAAAUGAUUGCUUCAUUUCAAACUUCCUGACUGCCGUGGAGCCAUCUGGCAUGUGCGCAUGUGUAGGAGUAGCUCAGAGAAGAAGGGGUGAUAUAACACAUGAUUUCAACAUGGUAGCUGAACACUGGCUUUAGAUCUCUCUCCCUGGCCAGGGAGAUCAGGAUUAAGUGUCAUAUAGCUGUGCUCCCCAACCCCUUGUGCUGCGGACUGGUAUUGGUUGCACGGCAGGAAGGGAGCAGCCAGUGAGCUAGAGAGCAGCUUCAUCUCCAUCUACAGCCGCUCCCGUUGCUGGCAUCACCACCUGAGC
Non-coding RNA from Microcebus murinus (gray mouse lemur), 341 nucleotides. The record is from RefSeq and is a predicted model, not a curated record. NCBI's taxonomy places the organism in Eukaryota, Metazoa, Chordata, Mammalia, Primates, Cheirogaleidae.